AGAGAAUGUCCUUCAAACUCCAUUUCUGAUUUCAACCAUAGCAAUUGGCAUUACUUCUAUUUAACCUGUUUCAUGCUAGAGGUGUUUCAUUUGUUGUCUGAAUCUGCAGAUGCCUGUGCAAAAAAUACCUGUGAAAGGAAAUGUUAACUUUUUUUCUUGACAAGCAUUUUCAAACAAGACCAAGUUCUCUUGUGCUACAACAGCUGGAGAAAAUAAAGUAUUUAUGUCCUGGCUUCAUUCAAGUGGAAAUGAAGAUGGAUGGCAGGAAACAUUAGCUAGUCAGCUGAUUCUGCACAUACAGUAUUGAAAACUGUAUCUGGGCCUCUUGUUACACAACACGGGUAUGCUGAGCUUAGAGAAUGGAAGCCUGACAAGCCAACUUUUCAGCAUUAGUUCCCAAAAUGACUAAUAUAAAAUUCUUGCAUAAAGAAGCUUUUUGGAUAUUGAAAUUUUGAUCAAUUCUUAUUUGCUAGCUCUUGUUCUUCUUUCAUUCUGCAAGGUGCAAAAAUAAUUAAGCAACAUUGUAUGAUAUUCAAUAAAUAAAGACCAGAAAUGAUCAAGUCUGUUGUGUAGAAUCCGAAAUGAUAUCUUUGGGCCAUAGAAUAAUUUCAAGGAAGAAAGCUAUUGUCAGACUAGUGCAGAAGGAAAGAAAUAACCCUUGCUUCUAGUGACAAUUCCAGAGCAACUUGUUCGGAGCAGCAAAGGGAUAGGUUGCCAUUUUAUGAAGACAUCAAGGAUUUGAGUGCCUGUUAAAUAUUUAUGCAAAUAUGCUUACAACUAUUUUAUUUUCCAUAAUUAAUGAAAUUGAAUACUGCUCUUGCUCCAGGAAGCAACUUCCUCUACAGUUUUUCAAAUCAAUAAAUCAUAACUUUAAAAAAAAAAUCAGACAAGUUCCUUAACAAGUAAUUUGGAUGUGACUGUGAUGAUGGAUGCUUUAAUAUAAAUUUCUAAGUGAAUACAGAAGUGAAGUAGGGAAUAAUAAUUAUUUGGGAAGAAAUACACUUUAUCCUUUGUUCCUUACAGCAAGCUACACUACAGUUUGGAAGGGCGCAUAAGUUACCAGCUCUUUCUGGAAUACCAGAAGCAACAGCUUAAUGGGCAAGGCAGCAGUCAAAGUGUAUAUGUCAUAUCACACUUGAAGCAGAGAUUAUAAUCCUUUUUUCCCUAAAUUUGGGUUUUUUUGUGGUGAUUAUUUGCUUUAAAAAUACAGCACA
Molecule: long non-coding RNA, 1214 nt
Organism: Naja naja (Indian cobra)
Lineage: Eukaryota; Metazoa; Chordata; Lepidosauria; Squamata; Elapidae
Source: Ensembl